This is a non-coding RNA of Salmo salar (Atlantic salmon), 52 nucleotides long. The record is from Rfam. NCBI's taxonomy places the organism in Eukaryota, Metazoa, Chordata, Actinopteri, Salmoniformes, Salmonidae.
AGGUCGCAGUUGUAAAUCGCUCUGGAUAAGAGCGUCUGCUAAAUGACGUAAA